RNAcentral lists this ribosomal RNA (431 nucleotides) under uncultured bacterium. RNAcentral describes it as "partial 16S ribosomal RNA". It matches the Rfam family "Bacterial small subunit ribosomal RNA", at positions 29 to 507 of the family's 1533-position model. The record is from RNAcentral.
AACGAACGCUGGCGGCAGGCCUAACACAUGCAAGUCGAGCGCGCCUUCGGGUGCGCGCCUGAUGGGUGAGUAACGCGAGGGAAUAUGCCCUUCUCUACGGCAUAGUCCUGUGAAACUGGGGGUAAUCCCGUAUCCGCCCUGUGGGCGCAAGAUUUAUCGGGGAAGGAUUCGCCCGCGUGGGAUUAGGUAGUUGGUGGGGUACUGGCCUACCACGCCGACGAUCCAUAGCUGGUUUGAGAGGAUGACCAGCCACACUGGGACUGAGACACGGCCCAGACUCCUGCGGGAGGCAGCAGUGGGGGAUCUGAGACAAUGGCGGCAACCCUGACCUAUCCAUGCCGCGGGACUCAUGAAGGCCUUAGCGUUGUAUAGCUCGUUAAGAUGGGAAGAUAAUGACGGUACCAGCAGAAGAAGCCCCGGCUAACUUCGUG